RNAcentral lists this transfer RNA (71 nucleotides) under Anaerolineae bacterium. Its description in RNAcentral is "tRNA-Gln". It matches the Rfam family "tRNA". Rfam says of the family: Transfer RNA (tRNA) molecules are approximately 80 nucleotides in length. Their secondary structure includes four short double-helical elements and three loops (D, anti-codon, and T loops). The record is from RNAcentral. Lineage: Bacteria; Bacillati; Chloroflexota; Anaerolineae. RNAcentral also lists the same sequence under 1 other name.
UGGGGGAUAGUUCAACGGCAGAACUGCAGAUUCUGGAUCUGUUAAUCUUGGUUCGAAUCCAGGUCCCCCAG